Molecule: ribosomal RNA, 1208 nt
Filed under: metagenome
Description: bacterial SSU rRNA
Rfam family: Bacterial small subunit ribosomal RNA
Source: RNAcentral
GGAUGAUCAGCCACACUGGAACUGAGACACGGUCCAGACUCCUACGGGAGGCAGCAGUGGGGAAUAUUGCACAAUGGGCGCAAGCCUGAUGCAGCCAUGCCGCGUGUAUGAAGAAGGCCUUCGGGUUGUAAAGUACUUUCAGUGGUGAGGAAGGUUAUGUAUUUAAUAGAUGCGUAGCUUGACGUUAGCCACAGAAGAAGCACCGGCUAACUCCGUGCCAGCAGCCGCGGUAAUACGGAGGGUGCGAGCGUUAAUCGGAAUUACUGGGCGUAAAGCGCAUGCAGGUGGUCUGUUAAGUCAGAUGUGAAAGCCCGGGGCUUAACCUCGGAAUAGCAUUUGAAACUGUCAGACUAGAGUACUGUAGAGGGGGGUAGAAUUUCAGGUGUAGCGGUGAAAUGCGUAGAGAUCUGAAGGAAUACCGGUGGCGAAGGCGGCCCCCUGGACAGAUACUGACACUCAGAUGCGAAAGCGUGGGGAGCAAACAGGAUUAGAUACCCUGGUAGUCCACGCCGUAAACGAUGUCUACUUGGAGGUUGUGGCCUUGAGCCGUGGCUUUCGGAGCUAACGCGUUAAGUAGACCGCCUGGGGAGUACGGUCGCAAGAUUAAAACUCAAAUGAAUUGACGGGGGCCCGCACAAGCGGUGGAGCAUGUGGUUUAAUUCGAUGCAACGCGAAGAACCUUACCUACUCUUGACAUCUACAGAAGCUUGCGGAGACGCGAGUGUGCCUUCGGGAACUGUAAGACAGGUGCUGCAUGGCUGUCGUCAGCUCGUGUUGUGAAAUGUUGGGUUAAGUCCCGCAACGAGCGCAACCCUUAUCCUUGUUUGCCAGCACAUAAUGGUGGGAACUCCAGGGAGACUGCCGGUGAUAAACCGGAGGAAGGUGGGGACGACGUCAAGUCAUCAUGGCCCUUACGAGUAGGGCUACACACGUGCUACAAUGGCACAUACAGAGGGCAGCCAACUUGCAAAAGUGAGCGAAUCCCAAAAAGUGUGUCGUAGUCCGGAUCGGAGUCUGCAACUCGACUCCGUGAAGUCGGAAUCGCUAGUAAUCGUGGAUCAGAAUGCCACGGUGAAUACGUUCCCGGGCCUUGUACACACCGCCCGUCACACCAUGGGAGUGGGCUGCAAAAGAAGUAGGUAGUUUAACCUUCGGGGGGACGCUUACCACUUUGUGGUUCAUGACUGGGGUGAAGUCGUAACAAGGUA